GUGCUCACAUGCCAGGAGAAAUAAGCUGGUGAUUUAUGUGGCACAGCACCAUCGAUCGAUCUACAAAGGAAGCUUCAGUGCAGCCGUGUUGCUAUACAGACCUCUCUCACCAAGGCAUCAUGAACUGAAGGGCUGGGAGAGGCCUCGUGGAGGAGGAAGAGUUUCGCUCAGCUUCUUGGGUGUGGGACUGAAUGUGGUUCCAGAACUGGUCGCUGCCUUCACCCGCUGACUCUGGUCUCGGCGAUGACAAGCCCAUGGAACAGACUUACGGCAUAUGACCUCAUCGGAGACUUGUACAUGGGGCCAACCCCUCAUUUUCCCACAGGAAACCCACACUCUAAUUAAGGGCUGACCCUGAACUUGAAUCUGAGUCUUCUCUUUCUUCAACAGAGAGCCAUCUCUCCAGCCCAGCUGGCAAGUAGACAGGUGAUGUUACAGGAAAAAAUACACAGCUUGUGCCCUUGGAACUACUGGAGUUCAAAGCCUGUUCAGCAUCUUCCCACCAUGUGAUCCGGGUCGAAUUCUUCAGUUUCUCUAAGCCCAUUUUCUCAUCUGUGAGAUGGGGAAGUGUAAUCAGUUCUGAACCCACAUAUACCUCACUGGGCUUGAAAAGGCCUGAGUAGGCAUGUGGGGCUUUACUAGCUAGCCAUCCUUUCUGCCGCUCUCCCUCAUUCUCCUUCAAGCCCCCCAAAGUCCUUGGUGGAGGAGGAAGUGGAGACAGAACGUUUGGUGUUGGGUGAGGUACGUGAGGAGGCUGAUUUCAGAACCUCCAGGAAACAAAGCUUUAGUGUUCCGAGGGCAGUGCCCGCCUGUGCCUCCUCCUCACAGGGGGUAGUAGGAGUGGGGUGGGGCCGAGGCAUUUCCCAGCACAGCUCAAUCACAUCUCCUGUGCCUGCCCUUGUAACCUGCUCACUGGAAAGGAAGAAAUGACCCAGGGAGAAGGGAGGGCAUUUGAGGGGAGAAGAAGAGGAUGGAGAAAAAAACUGGAUCAUCUCGUGACAUGGAAAGAAAGGUCUGAGCUCUGACGAUCCCCUCACGUGAUUAUAGGCAUGAGGACUCACUCUUCGAAUUGUUUGAAAAUUGAAUGGACUGGCUCACACCUUCUGAAAUUUCUUGGAAGCUCUGGAGUAACCAUUCCACUAAAGAACAGCGUGUUUUUGGCUGAAAUCUGUGACUGUUUGUUUUUGAGUUAUUUUAAUCUCCGUGUCAAGCAUGAAAACCUCAGCAGCCUGGGAUUUAUGAUUAGAUCCCACUGGCAUGCCCUCUCACCUCUCAAACAUGCCACAGUGCUUUGGCUCUCUCCUUGUGCAAACCUCCCUUUGAUAUUUUUGGAUAUCGAUACCAAGUGUAUCUGCAUAUUUUAACCAACUGAUAUGCAUAUCCUGUGAUCUGAGGCAUUCGCUCAAUGUGGGGCAUCAGGCCAGCUGUGAACUUCCUUUAAAAUUUACUUUGUGUCAAAUGAUUCCCUAAUGCUAUAGCUCCCUUGAACUGCUAGAUUUAUGAAAAUUCUGCACAACACAUAGCACAGAGAAAAAAAAAAAAGAGUGUUGCAAGACCAGAUAUAGGAUAUCAUUUGAUUUGUUUAAAACACUCUGUCCAAGGGGUUUUGACUUGCUAAUUUAAAAAUAAUUCUAAAAUUAGGUACAGUUGACCCUUAGUAUCCAUGGGGGAUUGGUUCCAGGAUGCCCUGUGGAUACCAGAAUCCAAGGAUGCUCAAGUCCCUGACAUAAAUGGCUUAGUGUUUGCAUAUAACCUACUCCCCUCUUCUUAUAUACUUUAAAUAAUCUCUAGAUUACUUAUAAUGCCUAACACAACGCCUUUGCAUCACUUCAUUUAUGUGGAUUCAAUGUAGUACUUGGUGUGAAGAAAAUUUAAGUCUUGCUUUUUGGAACUUUGUGGAUUUUUUUUUCUGGAAUGUUUUUGAUCUGCAGUUAGUUGAAUCCACAGGUGCAGAACUAUGGACACAGGGGGCUGACUAUGUAUAUUUAUAUCCACUUGCAAAAUUAAGAAUAAAAAUAAUAUGCAUCAGCAGGUGCAGAUUCUGAUGCUCGGUGGACAGUAUGAAGUCUUCCAUUUUUAAGGAAGUCUCAGGCGAUGCUGCUGUUGCAGUCCUGUCCAAUAGAAUGUUCUGUGAUGGUGGAAAGAUUCUCUAUCGGCUCUGUCCAAUACCUAAGCCACACCUUUCACACAUGGGGGAGUGGGAUGGGCAAUGGAAGAGCCCAGGCAGGGUAGGGAGGGGGUAGAAGGAAGGACAGCAGAACAGCUAGGCUCACUAAGAUCCUUAACAUUUAUUUAGUGCCUGUAAUGGGCAAGGCAGUGUGCUGGGUGCUUUACACCUGUUCAGCCACAUUCUUACAUCAGCUUGUGCAGAGCAUUUACUCUUCCUGGAACAAUCCUCGGGGCAGCGGGUACAACAAUGUAAAAAGAUCCAGUCCUUGCUGCUGGGAAAUUUAUAGACACGUUAACUGAAACUGUGGAGUAGGAUGAAGUUUCUGAGAGAGGAGUCCGCAUUUUUACCCUGGCCCUUCUAUUUCCUCUGCAACAUUAAGCAAGGUGCUUCAUUGCUCUCAGUUUCGAUUUCUUUGUUUCUAAAAUGGAGUUAAUCAUAGUACCUACUGUUGGCUUCUUGGGAGAUUAUAUGACGGGACACAUUGUAAAGGUUCAGGACAGUGUCUGGCACCCAGCAAGCUCUCUGAAAAGACCAGCGCCUAUGAUGGUGUUGGUCCUACCCGUGAAGACAAGUGUGUGCUGGCACCAAGAACUCUGAUCCAAGUGCCAUAGUUAAUUUUGAAAUACCUAAUAAGCCUCAACUAUGUGCAAUACUUUAAAUGGUGGAGACGGGAGGAUCGUGACAAAGGGGAAUAAAAUGCAAGACCUCAAGAAACUUAGUUUAGAAAGGGACUCAGAGUGCUUGGUGGUUUAAUGGAGUUCUCUCAGUUACUGGGGAUCUGGGAAGACUUCAUGGAAGAGGUGGUGUGUGAGCUGCCCCCAAAAAGCAGAUAGAGGAAGAGUGCAAAACUCCAUAAGCAGAGGCAAAGGGCCUUCUGGGUAGAGGAGGCUCUGGAAGCCACAGUGAGGACUAGAGGAAUUGAGGUCUUUUUGGAAAUAUUAAAUAUUCCAGUUUUCCUGGAGCACAGGACAGGGGUUGUUGGGGAGCACAGGAGAAAAGAUUGAAAAAGUAGAUUAAGGUUAGGCUGCAGAAGGCAUUGAUGCCAGGCUGUUGAGUUUAUAUGUGAAUUUGUGGGCAACGAGGGGCUUCUGAAGUUAUUUUUCCUCUGCAAUUUUCAUUUAUUUUCACCUGAAAUGUAAUAUGCUCAUUUUAAAUUUAAUUGUAAAUGCAGAGGUCUAUGAAUAGUUAAAAACUCUUGAAGAAGACAAAGUGAGAGAAGUUCCAAAUAAGGUGUAAGAAAUGAAAGGGCUUUGCGCAGUGGCUUACGCCUGUAAUCCCAGCACUUUGGGAGGCCAAGGUGGGCAGAUCACCUGAGGUCAGGAGUUCCAGACCAGCCUGGCCAACACAGCAAAACCCCAUCUCUACUAAAAAUAUAAAUAUUAGCCAGGCACAGUGGCACACGUCUGUAGUGCCAGCUACUCGGGAGGCUGAGGCAGGAGAAUCCCUUGAGCCUGGGAGGCAGAGGUUUCAGUGAGCCAAGAUCACGGCACUGCACUCCAGCCUGGGGGACAGAGCGAGAUUGUAUCUUAAAAAAAAAAAAAAGUAUUAGAAUUAAGACACCAUGAUAAUGGUACAGAGUUAGAAAAACUGAUCAGUGGAACAGAAUAGAGAGCCAUGAAUCUACUCAAAAAAGGAGAAAAUUUGAUACACGAGAGAGGGUUGAUAUUGCAAUUGUUUUUAUCACCAUAUAUAUGCAUAUUUAUAUUAAAUACAUAUGUAACUUUUAAAAUAACAUCUCAAUUUUAGAAUAGAUUUACAAAACCAUUGCAAAAAUAGUACAGAGAGUUCCCAUAUACCCACUGAUAUGGUUUGGCUGUGUCCCCACCCAAAUCUCAUCUUGAACUGUAGCUCCCAUAAUUCCCGCAUGUUGUGGGAGUGACCCAGUAGGAGAUAAUUGAAUCAUGGGGGUGGUUUCCCCCAUACUGUCCUCCUGGUAGUGAAUAAGUCUCUGAUGGUUUUGUAAGGGGUUUUCUCUUCCGCUUAGCUCUCAUUUUCUCUUGCUGCCGCCAUGUAAGACAUGACCUUGCUCCUCCUUUGCCUUCCACCAUGACUGUGAGGCCUCCCCAGCCACAUGGAACUGUGAGUCCAUUAAACCUUGUUUUCUUU
Molecule: long non-coding RNA, 4276 nt
Organism: Gorilla gorilla gorilla (western lowland gorilla)
Lineage: Eukaryota; Metazoa; Chordata; Mammalia; Primates; Hominidae
Exons: 3
Source: RefSeq, a predicted model, not a curated record